UCAAGUGAAUAAGGGCAUACGGUGGAUGCCUUGGCGGAAACAGGCGAUGAAGGACGUGGGUACCUGCGAAAAGCCUCGGGGAGCUGGUAAACGAGCGGUGAUCCGGGGAUGUCCGAAUGGGGAAACCCAACCCGAGGGAUCGGGUUAUUGCCACUGGAAUACAUAAGGUGGCAAGGCGAACGCGGUGAACUGAAACAUCUCAGUAGCUGCAGGAACAGAAAUCAACCGAGAUUCCCCCAGUAGCGGCGAGCGAACGGGGAGGAGCCAUCACGAUGUAGCCACGGACUUAGGAGAACGCUCUGGGAAGGGCGGCCGUAGUGGGUGAGAGCCCCGUAUCCGAAAAGUUGGUGGUGGAACUAGGCGUGAGACAAGUAGGGCGGGACACGUGGAAUCCUGUCUGAAGAUGGGGGGACCAUCCUCCAAGGCUAAAUACUCGUUUCCGACCGAUAGUGAACCAGUACCGUGAGGGAAAGGCGAAAAGAACCCCGGAGAGGGGAGUGAAAUAGAUCCUGAAACCGUAUGCCUACAAGCAGUGGGAGCCCCUACGGGGGUGACUGCGUACCUUUUGUAUCAUGGGUCAGCGACUUACUUUCUGUGGCGAGCUUAACCGAAGAGGGGAGGCGUAGGGAAACCGAGUCUGAAUAGGGCGACAGUCGCAGGGAGUAGACCCGAAACCGGACGAUCUAUCCAUGGUCAGGAUGAAGGUGGGGUAAUGCCCACUGGAGGUCCGAACCCACGCCCGUUGAAAAGGUCGGGGAUGAACUGUGGAUAGGAGUGAAAGGCUAAACAAGUCCGGAGAUAGCUGGUUCUCCCCGAAAGCUAUUGAGGUAGCGCGUCGCGUAGUACUGCCGGGGGUAGAGCACUGUUACGGCUAGGGGGCUGUCACGGCUUACCAACCCGUUGCAAACUCCGAAUACCGGCACGUAGCGCGCGGCAGACAGACGGCGGGUGCUAACGUCCGUCGUCAAGAGGGAUGAAAACCCAGACCGCCAGCUAAGGUCCCCAAAUAUGGCUCAGUGGGAAACGAUGUGGGAAGGCACAGACAGCUAGGAGGUUGGCUUAGAAGCAGCCAUCCUUUAAAGAAAGCGUAAUAGCUCACUAGUCGAGUCGGCCUGCGCGGAAGAUUUAACGGGGCUCAAGCCAUAUACCGAAGCUGCGGGUGUGUUCUUCGGAACGCGCGGUAGGGGAGCGUUCGGUAAGCCGGUGAAGGUGUGUCGGAAGGCAUGCUGGAGGUAUCCGAAGUGCGAAUGCUGACAUGAGUAGCGAUAAAGGGUGUGAAAACCACCCUCGCCGUAAGCCCAAGGGUUCCUGCGUCAAGUCAAUCUGCGCAGGGUGAGUCGGCCCCUAAGGCGAGGCCGAGAGGCGUAGCUGAUGGGAAAUCGGUUAAUAUUCCGAUACCGUUGCAGGAUGCGAUGGGGUGACGGAGAAAGGUAGCGUAGCCGGGUGUUGGACGUCCUGGUUUAAGCGUGUAGGGAGUCUCCUUAGGCAAAUCCGGGGAGGCAAUUCCGAGGCGUGAUGACGAUCCUCUACGGAGGAGAAGUACGUGAACCUCAGCUUCCAAGAAAAGCCUCUAAGCACAAUCCUGUAGUGACCGUACCCCAAACCGACACAGGUGGGCAGGAAGAAUAUUCCCAGGCGCUUGAGAGACCUCGGGUGAAGGAACUCGGCAAAUUGACACCGUAACUUCGGAAGAAGGUGUGCCCUAGUAGGUUGUAGUUCCUUGCGGACGAAGGCCGAGAGGGUCGCAGAGAAUCGGUGGCUGCAACUGUUUAACAAAAACACAGGGCUCUGCAAAGACGAAAGUCGACGUAUAGGGUCUGACGCCUGCCCGGUGCCGGAAGGUUAAGUGAGGGGGUGCAAGCUCUUGAUCGAAGCCCCGGUAAACGGCGGCCGUAACUAUAACGGUCCUAAGGUAGCGAAAUUCCUUGUCGGGUAAGUUCCGACCUGC
RNAcentral lists this ribosomal RNA (1948 nucleotides) under hot springs metagenome. RNAcentral describes it as "bacterial LSU rRNA". It matches the Rfam family "Bacterial large subunit ribosomal RNA", at positions 3 to 1991 of the family's 2925-position model. The record is from RNAcentral.